CUCAUGUGAUGUUGGAUGGAUUGG
This 24-nucleotide non-coding RNA is filed under the name Arabidopsis thaliana (thale cress). The record is from RNAcentral. Lineage: Eukaryota; Viridiplantae; Streptophyta; Magnoliopsida; Brassicales; Brassicaceae.